CCUGGCUCUGCGUCGGCCUCGGGCGGCAGGCACAGCGUGGGCACCGGCGUGGGCGCGGCUGCGGGUGCAGGCCCUGGGGCAGCCGGCCCAGCCUCGCUCUCCACCGGUUGGGGAAGCACAUAGGCAAAGCCGCGGUCCUCCCAAGUGAUGUCCGUGAUGAAGUCAAUGUUCUCGUAGCCGUUGUCCACCAGCACCUUGUAGUACUGCGCCAGGCCGAUCAUGGACAGCCACACGGCCAGGGCCCUCCGGAGGCUUGACCGGGCUGUCCCCGGGGCUGGAGUCGGACACCGGCUUCUGGGAGAGCACUGUUGCCAGGAGCUGGAACCCAGACAGGCUGGCUGGCCAGUGCUGCUCCAGACCCAGGCACCCUGGCCCUGCCGCCACCCCACCUACCUUGACCCCUUCAGAGCCAGCGUGCAGGGUGUGGCCCCCGCCGCUCCGGCCCCCAGCCACGCUGCUCAAGCUGCCGCUGCGGUCCCCACCUGCCCACAGGACAGAACAAGAUCAGCCGCUGCCUGCCCUGCCCUGCCCCACUGCCUCCCCCCGAGGCCCCCUACCCACCUGCAAAAGGCUUCCUCAGCACCCAGAUCUCUUCGGGGGGUGCAGCGGGCCCCGCGGAGCUGCCUCCCUGGGGUGGACUUGGUUCAGCACCUGCUCGGGGACCUGCAGGCCAAGCACAGCUGCCCUGAGCCCUGGACUGGCUCCAGGGCCUGUGUAGAGCAGAGGCCAGACACGCACACACACAUGCACACACGCACGCGUACAUACAUUCAUGUGCACACACACACACAGACACGCAUGCACGCACACACAGAGACAUGCAUGCACAGAGAUGCACACGCGCACACAGACACAUGCAUGCGUACACACACGUGCACAUGCACACACAGAGACACACGCAUGUGUGCACACAGGCUGGGUGGCUCAGCGCCAGCUCCUCCUCCCUGGCUGUCUCCAAGAAGCUGAGAGACCCUCAGAAGACCCCUCCUAACCCUGGACACUGGCAAGCAGGAGACCAGGGCAGAGUGGGGUGCAGACCAGGCUAUUCUGCCAGUGGUCCAGUAUGUGGGGGUGGGGGCUCGCAGGAGGGUACAAACCCCUCUGAUAAGGGAGCAGGGGAAAGAGGUCCCCAGGAGCCUGGGGCCAGGGCACUCGAUGACCUUGGGUGGACUGACCGACCACACCUCCUAGCUGGCCCCCCUCUGCCCUCUCACUGGCCUGUCAACCUCCACGUCCUCUGCACAGGGUAAGCCCGUCACACGUGUACCCCAUCUGAAGCCAUUCCGCAGCCCUGUGGCCUCCUCCUACGCCCCUCGCUCUGUCACCAAGUCAGCCUCCCUGGGCUCUGGACCCUCGCACAGGUCACACUCUGCCCUGCCUGAGCGUCUCUGCAUGUGUGGUUCCCACUACCCCGAAGUCACCGCCUGCAGCCUGCCCCCUCCCACUCCUCAGGGCCUUGUCCGUCCACUGUCUGAAGCGUGUCUCCAUCUGCAAUGUCUGGGUCACUGGUCGGCACGUUUCCCUCCAUGCUGACUUCACUGUCCUGUGCUCCCUUCCGCCCAGGGCAAGCUCCUUGAGAGCAGGAACGAGGCCAUUUGGGUGACCGUCUAUUCCUUGAGCCUGGCGUGCAGUGUCUGCUGAAUCAAUGGAGGACCGGGUCUGGGGACCUGGAUAAGACCGCUGGCAGGACAAACCCCGGACCUCACACCCAGUGA
Long non-coding RNA from Bubalus bubalis (water buffalo), 1715 nucleotides. RefSeq lists it as uncharacterized. The transcript has 3 exons. The record is from RefSeq and is a predicted model, not a curated record. NCBI's taxonomy places the organism in Eukaryota, Metazoa, Chordata, Mammalia, Artiodactyla, Bovidae.